Molecule: ribosomal RNA, 461 nt
Filed under: uncultured Desulfovibrio sp.
Lineage: Bacteria; Pseudomonadati; Thermodesulfobacteriota; Desulfovibrionia; Desulfovibrionales; Desulfovibrionaceae
Description: bacterial SSU rRNA
Rfam family: Bacterial small subunit ribosomal RNA
Source: RNAcentral
CACAAGCGGUGGAGUAUGUGGUUUAAUUUCGAUGCAACGCGAAGAACCUUACCUAGGUUUGACAUCCGGAAAACCUUACCCGAAAGGAAGGGUGCCCUUCGGGAAGUUCCGAGACAGGUGCUGCAUGGCUGUCGUCAGCUCGUGCCGUGAGGUGUUGGGUUAAGUCCCGCAACGAGCGCAACCCUAUUGCCAGUUGCUACCAGGUAAUGCUGGGCACUCUGGUGAGACUGCCCGGUUAACGGGGAGGAAGGUGGGGACGACGUCAAGUCAUCAUGGCCCUUACGCCUAGGGCUACACACGUACUACAAUGGCGCAUACAAAGGGCAGCGAUACCGCGAGGUGGAGCCAAUCCCAAAAAGUAGCGUCCCAGUCCGGAUUGCAGUCUGCAACUCGACUGCAUGAAGUUGGAAUCGCUAGUAAUUCGAGAUCAGCAUGCUCGGGUGAAUGCGUUCCCGGGCCUU